GACGAACGCUGGCGGCAUGCCUAACACAUGCAAGUCGAACGGUAAGGCUUCCUUCGGGAAGUACACGAGUGGCGAACGGGUGAGUAACACGUGGGUAACCUACCCUUGACUGUGGGACAACUUGGGGAAACUCAAGCUAAUACCGCAUGUACUCGAGAGAGUAAAGCUGGGGACCUUUAGGCCUGGCGCUUUAAGAUUAGCCUGCGUCCGAUUAGCUAGUUGGUAGGGUAAAGGCCUACCAAGGCGACGAUCGGUAGCUGGUCUGAGAGGAUGAUCAGCCACACUGGAACUGAGAGACGGUCCAGACUCCUACGGGAGGCAGCAGUGGGGAAUAUUGGACAAUGGGGGGAACCCUGAUCCAGCAAUGCCGCGUGUGUGAAGAAGGCCUGAGGGUUGUAAAGCACUUUCAGUGGGGGGGAGGUUUGGAAGGUUAAGAGCUAUUCAAAUGGACGUUACCCACAGAAGAAGCACCGGCUAACUCCGUGCCAGCCGCCGCCGUAA
This 501-nucleotide ribosomal RNA is filed under the name uncultured bacterium. Its description in RNAcentral is "partial 16S ribosomal RNA". It matches the Rfam family "Bacterial small subunit ribosomal RNA", at positions 28 to 523 of the family's 1533-position model. The record is from RNAcentral.